GUCUGGGUGGUGUAGUUGGUUAUCACGCUAGUCUCACACACUGUAGGUCCCCGGUUCGACCCCGGGCUCAGACA
This 74-nucleotide transfer RNA is filed under the name Nicotiana attenuata. Its description in RNAcentral is "tRNA tRNA-Val". It matches the Rfam family "tRNA". From Rfam's summary of the family: Transfer RNA (tRNA) molecules are approximately 80 nucleotides in length. Their secondary structure includes four short double-helical elements and three loops (D, anti-codon, and T loops). Further hydrogen bonds mediate the characteristic L-shaped molecular structure. tRNAs have two regions of fundamental functional importance: the anti-codon, which is responsible for specific mRNA codon recognition, and the 3' end, to which the tRNAs corresponding amino acid is attached (by aminoacyl-tRNA synthetases). tRNAs cope with the degeneracy of the genetic code in two manners: having more than one tRNA (with a specific anti-codon) for a particular amino acid; and 'wobble' base-pairing, i.e. permitting non-standard base-pairing at the 3rd anti-codon position. Lineage: Eukaryota; Viridiplantae; Streptophyta; Magnoliopsida; Solanales; Solanaceae. The record is from Rfam by way of RNAcentral.